This 581-nucleotide ribosomal RNA is filed under the name Bacteroidetes bacterium TDB-023. Its description in RNAcentral is "bacterial SSU rRNA". It matches the Rfam family "Bacterial small subunit ribosomal RNA", at positions 100 to 682 of the family's 1533-position model. The record is from RNAcentral. Lineage: Bacteria; Pseudomonadati; Bacteroidota.
UGGGCUGGAUCACCUCCACACGAUCUGCCCUUAUCUUGGGGAUAGCCCAUAGAAAUGUGGAUUAAUACCCAAUAGUAUAUUUGAAUGGCAUCAUUUAAAUAUUAAAGAACUUCGGAUAGGGAUGAGUGUGCGUAAGAUUAGCUAGUUGGUGAGGUAACGGCUCACCAAGGCAACGAUCUUUAGCUGAUGUGAGAGCAUGAUCAGCCACACGGGCACUGAGACACGGGCCCGACUCCUACGGGAGGCAGCAGUGAGGAAUAUUGGUCAAUGGACGGAAGUCUGAACCAGCCAUGCCGCGUGAAGGAUGAAGGCGUUCUGCGUUGUAAACUUCUUUUAUCAGGGAAGAAACCACUUUAAUCUUAGAGUGUUGACGGUACCUGAGGAAUAAGCACCGGCUAACUCCGUGCCAGCAGCCGCGGUAAUACGGAGGGUGCAAGCGUUAUCCGGAUUUACUGGGUUUAAAGGGUGUGUAGGCGGGCUUUUAAGUCUGGGGUGAAAUCUCCGAGCUCAACUCGGAAACUGCCUUGGAUACUAUUAGUCUUGAAUUAUGUUGAGGUUGGCGGAAUAUAACAUGUAGCGGU